GACAGCAGUAGCCACGGUAAUACGGAGGGCGCGAGCGUUACCCGGAUUUACUGGGCGUAAAGGGCGUGUAGGCGGCCUGGGGCGUCCCAUGUGAAAGGCCACGGCUCAACCGUGGAGGAGCGUGGGAUACGCUCAGGCUAGAGGGUGGGAGAGGGUGGUGGAAUUCCCGGAGUAGCGGUGAAAUGCGCAGAUACCGGGAGGAACGCCGAUGGCGAAGGCAGCCACCUGGUCCACUUCUGACGCUGAGGCGCGAAAGCGUGGGGAGCAAACCGGAUUAGAGACCCCUGUAGUCCCUGUCUCUUAUAC
This 306-nucleotide ribosomal RNA is filed under the name uncultured bacterium. RNAcentral describes it as "partial 16S ribosomal RNA". It matches the Rfam family "Bacterial small subunit ribosomal RNA", at positions 505 to 807 of the family's 1533-position model. The record is from RNAcentral.